AGGACGAACGCUGGCGGCGUGCCUAACACAUGCAAGUCGAACGGGGGUAGCAAUACCCUAGUGGCGAACGGGUGCGUAACACGUGAAGAACUUGUCCAUCGGCGGGGGAUAGCCGGCCCAACGGCCGGGUAAUACCGCGUACGCUUGUCGAGUGGCAUCACUUGACAAGGAAAGCAGCAAUGCACCGAUGGAGAGCUUCGCGGCCUAUCAGCUUGUUGGCGGGGUAAUGGCCCACCAAGGCAACGACGGGUAGCUGGUCUGAGAGGAUGAUCAGCCACAUUGGGACUGAGACACGGCCCAGACUCCUACGGGAGGCAGCAGUGGGGAAUAUUGCGCAAUGGGCGAAAGCCUGACGCAGCGACGCCGCGUGUGGGAUGACGGCCUUCGGUUGUAACCACUGUCGCGAGGGACGAAAAAAUGACGGUACCUCGAAAGGAAGCACCGGCUAACUCUGCGCCAGCAGCCGCGGUAA
Molecule: ribosomal RNA, 472 nt
Filed under: uncultured bacterium
Lineage: Bacteria
Description: SSU rRNA
Rfam family: Bacterial small subunit ribosomal RNA
Source: RNAcentral